CAGUAAGUUGGCAGAAUAGUGCCAUCGACUUAGAAUCGAUUUAUGGGGCCUCCCCACUUAUUAU
Molecule: transfer RNA, 64 nt
Filed under: Octodrilus exacystis
Lineage: Eukaryota; Metazoa; Annelida; Clitellata; Crassiclitellata; Lumbricidae
Description: tRNA-Leu
Source: RNAcentral